GAUGAACGCUGGCGGCGUGCCUAAUACAUGCAAGUCGAGCGAACAGACGAGGAGCUUGCUCCUCUGACGUUAGCGGCGGACGGGUGAGUAACACGUGGAUAACCUACCUAUAAGACUGGGAUAACUUCGGGAAACCGGAGCUAAUACCGGAUAAUAUAUUGAACCGCAUGGUUCAAUAGUGAAAGACGGUUUUGCUGUCACUUAUAGAUGGAUCCGCGCCGCAUUAGCUAGUUGGUAAGGUAACGGCUUACCAAGGCGACGAUGCGUAGCCGACCUGAGAGGGUGAUCGGCCACACUGAAACUGAGACACGGUCCAGACUCCUACGGGAGGCAGCAGUAGGGAAUCUUCCGCAAGGGGCGAAAGCCUGACGGAGCAACGCCGCGUGAGUGAUGAAGGUCUUCGGAUCGUAAAACUCUGUUAUUAGGGAAGAACAAAUGUGUAAGUAACUAUGCACGUCUUGACGGUACCUAAUCAGAAAGCCACGGCUAACUACGU
RNAcentral lists this ribosomal RNA (496 nucleotides) under uncultured bacterium. RNAcentral describes it as "partial 16S ribosomal RNA". It matches the Rfam family "Bacterial small subunit ribosomal RNA", at positions 28 to 506 of the family's 1533-position model. The record is from RNAcentral.